This is a long non-coding RNA of Ctenopharyngodon idella (grass carp), 1533 nucleotides long. RefSeq lists it as uncharacterized. The transcript is spliced from 2 exons. The record is from RefSeq and is a predicted model, not a curated record. Lineage: Eukaryota; Metazoa; Chordata; Actinopteri; Cypriniformes; Xenocyprididae.
AUUGUCUAAAUACAAUACAGAACAGAUUUGACAUGGCAUUUAAAAACUGUUCAUAACUUGUCAUCUCUGAACACUUUUUGUUGAUCUUAGGUACCUUAAACCAGUUGUGGAGAAGGAGCCUGUCAAGAAGAAUCCUCUCUUCAGGAUCGGGAUGCAGACAGACAUUGAUCAAAUGGCUGCAUUCUGUGCAGACUAUUACCUUUAACUUCCUUUACACCUGCUCACUUUUUUUUUUUUAAUCAUAUUAUUCUAAGCUGCACAGUUUGGAAAAAUUCAAAUUCAAAGCACUGGCUUUGCACAGAAACAGUUAUAACAGAAACGGUUAUAUACAUAAGGUGAAGUGUGUAAGAUUUUUUUUAUAUAUAGCUCAAUGUAUAGCGAGAGUUUGGGCCGUGACUACUGUAGCAGGCGGAGCCAUGGGAAAAGAAAUUCAGCUUUAGUUACAGCGGUGAACGCCAAAAUUCGUCGCAUUUACUGUAUACCUUCAAAGAUUAAACGGGUCAUGAACACGUCAAAGUGAACAGAACAUUGUGAUGCUACGCACUACAAAGCAUGCUUUAAUACCAUAUAGCAUCAUCGUGCACCUGUUCAGAAGGACAAAUUUUCAUAAAGACAAAUGCAACACAGCCAAAAGUAUUGGACCUGAAACAUGCCUUCACAAGAACCAGUAAGAGCUGUGUUUGCGCGAAAGGGGCAUUUGCAAGGUUUUUUGAAAACGUGCUUUAUUUUGUAAUUCCGCUCGGUGCCACUAGUGUCACAAAAACUACAUACUUCACUUUUAAAGGAAAGAUAAGGAAAAUUUUAUAUUAAUCAUGUUUUAGGUGCUGUUUUCAUAGAUGCCAAGUCACAUGGUCAUGACUAACCAGCUCUCUCCUUAUUAAAAUUUGUACAGAAUGCAGUGAUCUGAUUAGCCAGUGCCUAACCUGGGAUCCAACAUCAAUGGAUUAGAAAUGAUCUGGAUUGGAGAAGUUCAGGAGAUUCACUCGAUCAGUGAUUUCAGGAAAUAACAUACUUGCUGUCCUUGGUGGAGGGCUUGAGCUCGAGACUUGACCCGAAGCCUGAAGUCUAACUCCAACCUGACAGGGAACUCAAGCCGCCACACCAGAGACCUCAGAGCCUGUCCAUGCCUGAGCAAGAACAUGAGAGACUUCAAGACUGGAAAGAAGCCAUCAAGUCAUCACAGCCACAUUUGCUUUCUUUUUAAAAGUAAUUUUUGCUUUGUUUUUAAAAGUCAAGACAAGUCAUCUUUGUUUAUAUAGCGUUUUAAUGUUGGGGAGUAAAGUUACAUGUAACGGCAUUACGUGAUUUAAUUACAAAAUAAAUGUAACUGUAAUCCGUUGAGAAAAAAAUGUGUAAUUGAAUUAGUUACUUAUGAAAAUGCUAACGAUUAAAAAGGGAGUUGCAUCUGAAUAUUUUCUGUAAAAAGCUAGGAUAUGUUGAAUAAUAUUAAUUUGUUGCUUUGCCUGUUUUUUAUGUGCACAAUGCCUUCUCCUGCCAUUUAAAGACCGUUUAGUAAAGUGAUGCUAUUCUGAU